RNAcentral lists this ribosomal RNA (460 nucleotides) under uncultured bacterium. RNAcentral describes it as "partial 16S ribosomal RNA". It matches the Rfam family "Bacterial small subunit ribosomal RNA", at positions 338 to 795 of the family's 1533-position model. The record is from RNAcentral.
CCUACGGGAGGCAGCAGUGAGGAAUAUUGGUCAAUGGCCGGAAGGCUGAACCAGCCAUGCCGCGUGAAGGUCAGUGCCCUAUGGGCGUUAAACUUCUUUUGUGCGGGAGCAAUAAUGGUCACGUGUGGCCAGACGAGAGUACCGUACGAAUAAGCAUCGGCUAACUCCGUGCCAGCAGCCGCGGUAAUACGGGGGAUGCAAGCGUUAUCCGGAUUUAUUGGGUUUAAAGGGUGCGUAGGCUGGGAGGUAAGUCAGCGGGGAAAUGCCCCCGCUCAACGGGGUGAAGUGCAAUUGAUACUGCCUUGCUGGAAUGCGGAUGCCGUGGGAGGAAUGUGUGGUGUAGCGGUGAAAUGCAUAGAUAUCACACAGAACACCGAUUGCGAAGGCAUCUCACGAAGCCGCGAUUGACGCUGAUGCACGAAAGCGUGGGUAUCAAACAGGAUUAGAUACCCCGGUAGUC